GAACUGGGAAAAGCGAGGGGGAGGCGCCCUUAGAACUCCGAAGCUCUUUUGGGGUCCUUGGGGAAACAAAGCUUUCUUUUGGUUUCGAUUGUCGAAAUUUCAAAACUGCAACCUGUCUAGGGGCUUCAGUACUGUAUACAAAAGAUGGACUCAUGCGGAUGGUUCCCCAAAGAAAACUCACAACCAUAAUUUGAUCCAGAAGAACACUUUGCACACUCUGUUUUAGUUUUAAAUUUCAAUCCCCGCCUUCGUUCUCAAAACUAUUAAUACAGUACAGCGAAGCAAAAACAUGGAUUUCCUCCAUAUCGAAGAGCCGCCGGCAAUAGGAAGAGGAAAAGGCAGCACCGUAGAUUUUAACUCUUUGAUGUUUAUGAAUCAAGCUCUUUUCCUCCUAUGUUAAACAAAGAAAAUUCAUCUUAAGAAAAACGGACGUUUCUCAAGCGCUAAUCAGCAAAAAAUAAGAAAUAUAGAGUGGAGCAGCUUCAAGGCGCCUGCAGUUUCCUUGAUGGCUUAUGUAUUUCUUCCCUGAAAAGACCUGGAACCAACUGUAUUAAUUGCACAUUUAUUAUUUUGGUGUUGAAGUGUUUAAUAGAUUUUUCUUACAAAUGUGAGAUUGGAUUUACUACAUAACAAGAGUGAACUUUUUUGUUUACAGCACUGAAGCUGCAUUCUGCUUCUAUACCAAUUGAAAUAGUUUGUACUAUUAAAUAGUUUGUACUAUUUCAA
Pantherophis guttatus is the source of this 726-nucleotide long non-coding RNA. RefSeq lists it as uncharacterized. The record is from RefSeq and is a predicted model, not a curated record. NCBI's taxonomy places the organism in Eukaryota, Metazoa, Chordata, Lepidosauria, Squamata, Colubridae.